RNAcentral lists this unclassified non-coding RNA (219 nucleotides) under uncultured Actinomycetes bacterium. RNAcentral describes it as "uncultured actinobacterium contains 16S-23S intergenic spacer region". Lineage: Bacteria; Bacillati; Actinomycetota; Actinomycetes. The record is from RNAcentral.
UCCGAGUUGUCCCCGGCAGUCCUCUUAGAGUCCCCGGCAUUACCCGCUGGCAACUAAGAGCAGGGGUUGCGCUCGUUGCGGCACUUAAGCCAACACCUCACGGCACGAGCUGACGACAGCCAUGCAGCACCUGUGCUAGCCCCCGAAGGACACGGGCUUUCACCCGCUUUAACUAGCAUGUCAAGCCCAGGUAAGGUUCUUCGCGUUGAACGGUUGGUU